RNAcentral lists this ribosomal RNA (467 nucleotides) under uncultured bacterium. Its description in RNAcentral is "partial 16S ribosomal RNA". It matches the Rfam family "Bacterial small subunit ribosomal RNA", at positions 28 to 507 of the family's 1533-position model. The record is from RNAcentral.
GACGAACGCUGGCGGCGUGCUUAACACAUGCAAGUCGAACGGAAAGGCCCUGCUUUUGUGGGGUGCUCGAGUGGCGAACGGGUGAGUAACACGUGAGUAACCUGCCCUUGACUUUGGGAUAACUUCAGGAAACUGGGGCUAAUACCGGAUAGGAGCUCCUGCUGCAUGGUGGGGGUUGGAAAGUUUCGGCGGUUGGGGAUGGACUCGCGGCUUAUCAGCUUGUUGGUGGGGUAGUGGCUUACCAAGGCUUUGACGGGUAGCCGGCCUGAGAGGGUGACCGGCCACAUUGGGACUGAGAUACGGCCCAGACUCCUACGGGAGGCAGCAGUGGGGAAUAUUGCACAAUGGGCGGAAGCCUGAUGCAGCAACGCCGCGUGCGGGAUGACGGCCUUCGGGUUGUAAACCGCUUUCGCCUGUGACGAGCGUGAGUGACGGUAAUGGGUAAAGAAGCACCGGCUAACUACGUG